This 495-nucleotide ribosomal RNA is filed under the name uncultured bacterium. RNAcentral's name for it is "partial 16S ribosomal RNA". It matches the Rfam family "Bacterial small subunit ribosomal RNA", at positions 28 to 507 of the family's 1533-position model. The record is from RNAcentral.
GAUGAACGCUGGCGGCGUGCCUAAUACAUGCAAGUAGAACGCUGAAGGAGGAGCUUGCUCUUCUGGAUGAGUUGCGAACGGGUGAGUAACGCGUAGGUAACCUGCCUGGUAGCGGGGGAUAACUAUUGGAAACGAUAGCUAAUACCGCAUGACAACAGUUAUUGCAUGAUAACUGUUUAAAAGGGGCAACUGCUCCACUACCAGAUGGACCUGCGUUGUAUUAGCUAGUUGGUGAGGUAACGGCUCACCAAGGCGACGAUACAUAGCCGACCUGAGAGGGUGAUCGGCCACACUGGGACUGAGACACGGCCCAGACUCCUACGGGAGGCAGCAGUAGGGAAUCUUCGGCAAGGGACGGAAGUCUGACCGAGCAACGCCGCGUGAGUGAAGAAGGUUUUCGGAUCGUAAAGCUCUGUUGUAAGAGAAGAACGAGUGUGAGGGUGGAAAGUUCACACUGUGACGGUAUCUUACCAGAAAGGGACGGCUAACUACGUG